UACGAGAUAUUGUAAUGGUAGCAUAAAAGUCUCAUUAGCUUAUGGUUUAGGUUCAAAUCCUAAUCUCGUAA
This 71-nucleotide transfer RNA is filed under the name Marasmius tenuissimus. RNAcentral describes it as "tRNA-Met". It matches the Rfam family "tRNA". From Rfam's summary of the family: Transfer RNA (tRNA) molecules are approximately 80 nucleotides in length. Their secondary structure includes four short double-helical elements and three loops (D, anti-codon, and T loops). Further hydrogen bonds mediate the characteristic L-shaped molecular structure. tRNAs have two regions of fundamental functional importance: the anti-codon, which is responsible for specific mRNA codon recognition, and the 3' end, to which the tRNAs corresponding amino acid is attached (by aminoacyl-tRNA synthetases). tRNAs cope with the degeneracy of the genetic code in two manners: having more than one tRNA (with a specific anti-codon) for a particular amino acid; and 'wobble' base-pairing, i.e. permitting non-standard base-pairing at the 3rd anti-codon position. The record is from RNAcentral. RNAcentral also lists the same sequence under 1 other name. Lineage: Eukaryota; Fungi; Basidiomycota; Agaricomycetes; Agaricales; Marasmiaceae.